UGGUGCAUUACAGGGCAAGUUCUCUUUGGCAGGUAUCACCACAAGCCAUGCAACAUUCCGCAACCCGCCAAAGGAGAUUUGCCCAGCAAUUCUCCU
RNAcentral lists this microRNA precursor (96 nucleotides) under Phaseolus vulgaris (common bean). Its description in RNAcentral is "pre miRNA mir-399". It matches the Rfam family "mir-399 microRNA precursor family". From Rfam's summary of the family: mir-399 was identified in both Arabidopsis thaliana and Oryza sativa computationally and was later experimentally verified. mir-399 is thought to target mRNAs coding for a phosphatase transporter. The mature sequence is excised from the 3' arm of the hairpin. The record is from Rfam by way of RNAcentral. Lineage: Eukaryota; Viridiplantae; Streptophyta; Magnoliopsida; Fabales; Fabaceae.